AGUGGCUGCGGCUCCGGCGCGGAGCCCAGAGCUGGUUCGGCGCGUCGACUGCCCAGAGUCCGCGGCCGGGGCGCAGGAGGAGCUAAGCCGCCAUGGCCUACCACAGCUUCCUGGUGGAGCCCAUCAGCUGCCACGCCUGGAACAAGGAUCGCAGCCAGAUCGCCAUCUGCCCCAACAACCAUGAGGUGCACAUCUAUGAAAAGAGCGGUGCCAAAUGGACCAAGGUGCACGAGCUGAAGGAGCACAACAGGCAGGUGACAGGCAUCGACUGGGCCCCCGAGAGUAACCAUAUUGUGACCUGCGGCACAGACCGCAACGCCUACGUGUGGACGCUGAAGGGCCGCACGUGGAAGCCCACGCUGGUCAUCCUGCGGAUCAACCGGGCCGCCCGCUGCGUGUGCUGGGCCCCCAACGAGAACAAGUUUGCUGUGGGCAGCGGCUCCCGUGUCAUCUCCAUCUGUUAUUUCAAGCAGCAGAAUGACUGGUGGGUUUGCAAGCACAUCAAGAAGCCCAUCCGCUCCACCGUCCUCAGCCUGGACUGGCACCCCAACAACGUGCUGCUGGCUGCUGGCUCCUGUGACUUCAAGUGCCGGAUCUUUUCAGCCUACAUCAAGGAGGUGGAGGAACGGCCGGCACCCACCCCAUGGGGCUCCAAGAUGCCCUUUGGGGAGCUGAUGUUCGAAUCUAGCAGUAGCUGUGGCUGGGUACAUGGCGUCUGCUUCUCAGCCAGUGGGAGCCGCGUGGCCUGGGUGAGCCACGACAUCACCGUGUGCCUGGCUGAUGCUGACAAGAAGAUGGCCGUGGCGACUCUGGCCUCUGAAACGCUACCACUGCUGGCGCUGACCUUCAUCACAGACAACAGCCUGGUGGCAGCGGGCCACGACUGCUUCCCGGUGCUGUUCACCUAUGACGCCGCUGCGGGGAUGCUGAGCUUUGGCGGACAGCUGGAUGUUCCCAAGCAGAGCUCGCAGCGUGGCUUGACGGCCCGCGAGCGCUUCCAGAACCUCGACAAGAAGGCGAGCUCGGAGGGCGGCACGACUGCGGGCGCGGGCCUGGACUCACUGCACAAGAACAGCGUCAGCCAGAUCUCAGUGCUCAGUGGGGGCAAGGCCAAGUGCUCGCAGUUCUGCACCACUGGCAUGGACGGCGGCAUGAGUAUCUGGGAUGUUAAGAGCUUGGAGUCAGCCUUGAAGGACCUCAAGAUCAAAUGACCUGUGAGGAAUAUGUUACCUUCAUCCUAGCUGCUGGGGAAGCAGGGAGAGGAGUCUGGGAGGCUAAUGGUUGCUUUGCUGAAUGUUUCUGGGGUACCAAUGUGAGUCCCCAUAGGGGCUGCUCCCUCAAAGAGGGGACAGAUGGGGAGCUUUUCUUACCUAUUCAAGAAAUAUGUGCCUUUUUCUUAAAGAAAUGCUUUCAUUUAUUGAAGAAAAAAAAAAUGCCCCCAAAGCACUAUGCUGGUCACGAACUGCUUCAAAAUGUGGAGGUAAUAAAAUGCAACUGUGUAAAAAAAAAAAAAAAAAAAAAAAAAAAAAAAAAAAAAAAAAAAAAAAA
RNA transcript from Rhinopithecus roxellana (golden snub-nosed monkey), 1548 nucleotides. It is a transcript of the gene named actin-related protein 2/3 complex subunit 1B pseudogene, with no coding region annotated. The record is from RefSeq and is a predicted model, not a curated record. The transcript has a single exon. Lineage: Eukaryota; Metazoa; Chordata; Mammalia; Primates; Cercopithecidae.